This is a long non-coding RNA of Athene cunicularia (burrowing owl), 374 nucleotides long. RefSeq lists it as uncharacterized. The record is from RefSeq and is a predicted model, not a curated record. The transcript is spliced from 3 exons. NCBI's taxonomy places the organism in Eukaryota, Metazoa, Chordata, Aves, Strigiformes, Strigidae.
GGCCCGGGCGGGAGAGGCAGCCUCAGGCUUGCCCGUUGUGGCCCGGCUCUGCCCAUCCUCCUCCGGCCCCUUAGGUUUCCAUGCUGUGGUGUGACCCUCUCUUGCAGUACCUGUCUCUUAAGCGUAGCGAGCAGCCCCGUUUUCUGAGCCUGAGGAGCAUCUUAGCUUUUGCUCCUUUCUCAGACCUCUGGGACCCUGAAGCAGUUCUCAGUUCAGGUCCAUUGCAGCCAUCAGGCAGCCCAGAAGAUGGACAUUUGACAGGCCACAAUAGACUGCUCCUUUCCCAGGAUGAAGCUUGAUGUCAAGUUUAAAUCUCAGACUGCUACUGACAUUGGAGAAGAAACAAGAAAGGACUGGAGGAAGAAAUAGCAGAG